This 1143-nucleotide long non-coding RNA is filed under the name Anser cygnoides (Swan goose). RNAcentral describes it as "lncRNA (ENSACDG00005011226.1)". Lineage: Eukaryota; Metazoa; Chordata; Aves; Anseriformes; Anatidae. The record is from RNAcentral.
AUCUGCAAGUUAUCUGAGUAUUUGCACACUCUGUUUACUCACAAACUUUACAUUAGAAAACACUAUGAUAUAUUACAGUGGCAGAAAGACUAAUAAGUCAUUUUGGGGUUUACAAGUUCAUGAGAAAAUAGAAUAUAUUUUACAGUAUUUACUUUUAGAAGUGUUUAAAUUCUAAGAUUUUUUUUUUCUGGAUAAAAUUCAUAACUUUAUCACCAAACUUCCUAACUUGGUACAAAAGAAGAGUAGGAUUAAAGUCAGUUUUACCUUCAGGAAUGGUUACCUUUAAUCAAAGAUUAAUCAAAGACAUGCUUUUAUACUAAGUAUUAUUUUAAAAGAAAAACUAGAAAUAUAGAUGUUUAUUCACCAAAAAUAUACAUCUUUACAGUCCAAUCAUAUGAUUUUGUGAUCUUUAAACUACAACAGGACUAAUCAUGAGCUGAAAAUUAUUCAAGAGAUUAAGCACCUCACUGUAUUUGGCUUAAGGAAACAGAUCGAUCUCUCUCUCUUAUUUUAAAAAAUACAUACUUUUAAGCCACAAGUCAAUUUCCCUACAUUUUAUUGUUGUAUAACUAUACAGUUGUUGUGUAACUAUACAAGUAGAACUUUUUUUUUGUCUUUUCAGAAGUGAACCAAAUAUUCCUGCAAAAUCAUUUUUAUAAUGAAUUGUUCUUCUUGUCACUCAGCAUUAAUUUUUCAUUUUCAUUUUCAUUUCACAUUUUCAUUUAAAUACUAUAGCAAUGCUGAAAUAUACACAAAGGUUCUUACUAGUCUUGUAAUAUAUGUUGAUUUAUAUCUUUUUUGUUUGUUUAAUUCAGAAAAGUGCACCAUUUCAAAAUAUAUUUUGACUACAUGACUAAACAAGACAAGACAAGAGCCAAAAGGAAGUUAACACCUCAACAAAUCCCUCCAGAUCACAGCAGUGAAUUAGUGAAUCUAAUGAAGUAUCAAAGUAAUAACUGCUCAGCAAAUUGUGCCGUGGAAAUGAAGAAAAUAGUCGUCCUGGAUUAUUUUAUACCACUUCACCUGAGAGGAUCAUCUCUAUACCCACAAAUAAUUUUUCAGCAGGAUAUCAUAUUUCAUUGAUGUAUUUCUAAGUGUGCAGUAUAAAGGAAAUUAUCAGAAAUAAAAAGUUACAAAAGGGCA